This 1416-nucleotide long non-coding RNA is filed under the name Nicotiana benthamiana. Its description in RNAcentral is "long non-coding RNA (NBEN_LNC005257)". The record is from RNAcentral. Lineage: Eukaryota; Viridiplantae; Streptophyta; Magnoliopsida; Solanales; Solanaceae.
AUAGAACAACCUUCGGGAUACAUCGUGAAAGGCCAAGAGAAUAAGGUGCUGAAAUUGAAAAAGGCCUUAUACGGGUUGAAGCAAGCGCCUCGAGCAUGAAAUAGCAGGAUAGACAAGUAUUUCCAGCAGAAUGACUUUACAAAAUGCCCACAUGAGCAUGCCCUCUACACCAAAGUAAGCAAGGAUGGAGAUGAUAUGUUUGUGUGCCUAUACGUGGAUGACUUGAUAUUCACCGGUAGUAAUCCUAAAAUGUUCGAGGAGUUCAAGAAAGCAAUGGUUCGAGAGUUCGAGAUGACCGACAUUGGACUUAUGGCUUACUAUCUUGGGAUCGAGGUGAAACAAAAGAAAGAAGGAAUAUUCAUAUCCCAAGAAGGUUAUGCGACGGAGGUGCUGAAGAAGUUUUAGAUGAAUGACUGCAAGUUCUGAACACACCGGUGGAUUGCAAUCUCAAGUUGUCAAAAGAUGAUGAAGGAUACUUGGUGGACCCAACACAAUACAAGAGUUUGGUUGGAAGUCUGAGGUACCUAACCUGCACGAGGCCAGAUAUUCUCUGUGGAGUUGGACUAGUAAGUCGAUAUAUGGAAGCACCUACAAUAAAUCACUCGAAGGCAGCAAAGAGGAUACUUCACUACAUCAAAUGUACGAUUGACUAUGGUCUGUUUUAUUCGCUUUCGGAUCACUUCAAGCUAGUUGGAUACAGUGAUAGUGAUUGGGCCGGAGACAUAGAUGAUCGUAAGAGUACGAGUGGUUUUGUGUUCUAUAUGGGAGAUACCUAGUUGGAUACAGUGAUAGUGAUUGGGCCGGAGACAUAGAUGAUCGUAAGAGUACCAGUGGUUUCGUGUUCUAUAUGGGAGAUACGGCGUUUACAUGGAGUUCGAAGAAGCAACCCACUAUGACUCUGUCAACGUGUGAAGCCGAGUAUGUAGCAGCAACAUCGUGCACCCGUCAUGCAGUGUGGCUCGGGAAGUUAUUAAAUGAGCUUAAGUUUUCUCAAAAUGAAGCUACAGAGAUAUAUGUGGAUAACAAGUCUGCGAUUGCUCUAGAAAAGAAUCCAAUCUUCUAUGAUCGAAGCAAGCACAUCGAUACGAAAUACCAUUACAUCAGGGAGUGUGUUGCAAAUAAAGAGGUGCAGAUAAAGUACGCGAAGUCAUUUGACCAAGUUCCUGAUAUUUUCACAAAGCCUCUAAAACACGAGACGUUUCAGAGAUUACGGAAUAUGCUCGGAAUGACGAAAUCAAGUUUAAGCGGGGCUGUUGAAAAAUAAACUUGAUUUUGGGUUAUGUGUUUUGGAUUUGGGCUUGCAAGUAUCACUCAUACAUUGACAGCAACAAAUGUUUGAAAAAUAAACUUGAUUUUGGGUUAUGUGUUUUGGAUUUUGACUUGCAAAUAUCCAAGUAUAUUAGAUCAAGAUUGUAU